This 324-nucleotide ribosomal RNA is filed under the name Triticum aestivum (bread wheat). RNAcentral's name for it is "partial small subunit ribosomal RNA". Lineage: Eukaryota; Viridiplantae; Streptophyta; Magnoliopsida; Poales; Poaceae. The record is from RNAcentral.
AUGUUCUACUUUGACAUCGUAUUGUCUUUCACUUGCUCAUUUUCUCAUCUUACAUUUUUUUUUAUUUCAAGACACCGCAAUCAAAUCAGAUGUUUAAUUACAAUUUACAUGUUUUCUCUGCAGGUUACUCAAUUAGAUGUAAAGAGUUUCUUUGAAGAACUUUGUGGUGAGGUGGCUAUGUUGAUUGCCCUGGUGAAUGACAGUGAUAUCUUUGGGGAAGCUUCAGAAAGUACAUCAACUUCUGCAACAUCUGUACCUACUGCAGAUCUUACGAGUAUUGAUCAGCUUCUCAAAACAUGUGGUGGAGUUAAUAAGCCAGGAUGA